This 202-nucleotide unclassified non-coding RNA is filed under the name root metagenome. RNAcentral describes it as "partial contains small subunit ribosomal RNA, internal transcribed spacer 1, and 5.8S ribosomal RNA". The record is from RNAcentral.
UUUCCGUAGGUGAACCUGCGGAAGGAUCAUUAUCAAAACAGCGGACUUCGGUCUUUGCUGCACCCUUGUCUUUUGCGCACCGAAUUGUUUCCUCGGCGGGCUUGCCUGCCGGUUGGACAUUAUCAAAACCUUUUUGUAGUUGCAAUCAGCGUCAGAAAAAUCAUAAUUAUUACAACUUUCAACAACGGAUCUCUUGGUUCUG